RNAcentral lists this unclassified non-coding RNA (422 nucleotides) under fungal sp. Its description in RNAcentral is "partial internal transcribed spacer region". The stretch from base 1 to 46 matches the Rfam family "Eukaryotic small subunit ribosomal RNA", at positions 1786 to 1831 of the family's 1831-position model. Lineage: Eukaryota; Fungi. The record is from RNAcentral.
AAGUCGUAACAAGGUUUCCGUAGGUGAACCUGCGGAAGGAUCAUUAACACGUAUCCACGUAUCUACCUAACGCGAACCUCUUUUGUUUAUAGUUGUGCCAGGUACGAAUGGGAGCAGAUGACCAUGUUGUUUUUUCUUAGGACCUCUUGGGGACCUUUGAUGAAACGUUCUGCUUGCCUAUCCUUCUCGAUGUUGAGUGCUAGUGUAUUGAGGUUGACCCACGACUCCGGUUGUGAGGCAAUCCUAUUAGCCAUAACUCCUUGGGAAUUGGAUAUCUGGUGUAACUCGAAUCAUGGUGGUUAUUAACAUAUAAACCCUGUCUUCAUUUAUGUUUGUGAGUUCUUCUAGCGACACCUCACUGGUGACGCUAGUCCUCCCCCCAAUAACACUAUACAACUCUUAGCAACGGAUAUCUCGGUUCU